UAAAUAUGAGGUCGAUAUACAGUAACAGUAGAUCAAGUCGAAUUAUUUUGACUUGGCAUAUGAGCCGCUGUGUCUACACGACUGCCUGUGGUGCAUACCUGUAUCGCUUAUCUUGAACACAAAUAAACAUAUAGGGUGUUUUCAGUUUCGAAAUACUGGAAAAUCAGAAUCAUUUUCUAAUUUUCGACGAUCUCAUAAACGCUUUCGAGUUAAUGUUUGACUUCUAAACGAAGAAAGAUAACAGACUGUCCGGUCUUGGGAUAAGUGUUAUCGAUCAACGGAAUAUCUUAUUUACGCGAGAAUGGGUAACGGUGAAACCGGUGGAACCGAAGGAUCCACGGGCGGUGGAUUCGGCGGCAUUGGCGGCGGUGGGUCGGAAGGCGAUGGUAAAAAAAUAUUCUCCGCACAAAGAUAUGACGCUGUUUGCCAGAUAACAGAAUCAGCUUCAUGGCUCAGGACCGACGUGAUUCCUAUAGGAAUGGAUGAGUAGCUGUUUGAUUUUGUAUAAAGUGGAUCAUGCGCAUGGAAAUGAAGAAAGGCCACCAGAACGCUAGUUAGACAUCGGAUUAUUCAGAUUCAGAUUUAGUUAGCAAGUGACCGAGUUUUAUCGUUGGAAUAAAAUAUCAAUCAAUA
Long non-coding RNA from Dreissena polymorpha, 633 nucleotides. RefSeq lists it as uncharacterized. The transcript has 3 exons. Lineage: Eukaryota; Metazoa; Mollusca; Bivalvia; Myida; Dreissenidae. The record is from RefSeq and is a predicted model, not a curated record.